GACAAACGCUGGCGGCGUACCUAAGACAUGCAAGUCGAACGGGUGCGGCGCCCUUCGGGGCGCCGGACGAGUGGCGGACGGGUGAGUAACGCGUAGGAACCUAUCGCACAGUGGGGGAUACCACGGGGAACCGGGUGUUAAUACCGCAUGAGGUCAGCGAUGACCAAAGCAGCAAUGCGCUGUGUGCGGGGCCUGCGUCCGAUUAGCUAGUUGGUGGGGUAAGGGCCUACCAAGGCGACGACGGUAGCUGGUCUGAGAGGAUGGUCAGCCACACUGGGGACUGAGACACGGCCCAGACUCCUACGGGAGGCAGCAGUUAGGAAAUUUUUGCAAUGGGGGAAACCCUGACAGAAGUAACGCCGCGUGGAGGAUGACGGCCUUCGGUU
RNAcentral lists this ribosomal RNA (386 nucleotides) under uncultured bacterium. Its description in RNAcentral is "bacterial SSU rRNA". It matches the Rfam family "Bacterial small subunit ribosomal RNA", at positions 28 to 423 of the family's 1533-position model. The record is from RNAcentral.